GAAGAAGAAAAGAGAGAGAAAAAAGUGAGCACAGAAAAAUACAGGGGACUUAGGUAUGUCGUAUAUACGUGUGUCUUAUACUUUGUUCACGCAGUCUUUUCGGUUCUGCUUCU
This 113-nucleotide non-coding RNA is filed under the name uncultured eukaryote. The record is from RNAcentral.